AGGCUGGAGUACAGUGGCACAACCUCUGCUCACUGCAGCCUCCACCUGCCAGGCUCAAGCAAUUCUCCUGCCUCAGCCUCCCGAGUAGCUGGGAUUACAGCUGGAUCUACCAUGAAAGACUUGUGAAUCCAGGAAGAGAGACUGACUGGGCAACAUGUUAUUCAGGUGGGAACAUCCAGUUGCAGGAAAACAAGCUUAACACGCCCACUGAUUCUACAUUAUGGCUGAAGCGAUCCUCCCACCUCAACCUCCCACGUGGCUGAGACUACAGGUGCUUGCCACUAUGCCCAACUAACAUUUGGAAUUUUCGUAUACGUGGAUUCUAGAGGGGUGACAGCGAAACGUGAGUGGGACCAUCCAGUUGCAGGAAAACAAGCUUGACACGCCCACUAAUUCUACAUUAUGG
Molecule: long non-coding RNA, 406 nt
Filed under: Homo sapiens (human)
Lineage: Eukaryota; Metazoa; Chordata; Mammalia; Primates; Hominidae
Description: HSALNT0317705
Source: RNAcentral